CGAAAUCUCCAGUUGUCGAGUUGUAUGCUAAAGGAUCUGGGAACCCAUUGCAUUAUUGUCCCAAGAGAACUACCAUUAUAGGAUUAAUGGAAAGGUGUCACGACCUUCAGUAAUGAGGAAUACGACUAUAGACUAUACAUCUAGUGAUUCCAUGGGGUCCCUGCGACUCGUUUGAUAUCAUCUGUGCACCUAUAGUGGACUAGACCUACGCUGCCCUUUCCGGUGCAAGGUUGCUAUUCUUGCCCCUAAGGACCCCAAUGUUUUUGAACUAAGUAUGCUCUGCCCAUUGCUACUUCAGCAUGGUAACCUGUUGAGCUAUGCCGGUCACCCUGGCAUAUUUUAAUUAUGAAA
Molecule: long non-coding RNA, 351 nt
Organism: Maniola jurtina (meadow brown)
Lineage: Eukaryota; Metazoa; Arthropoda; Insecta; Lepidoptera; Nymphalidae
Exons: 3
Source: RefSeq, a predicted model, not a curated record